CACGCCAGGUGGCUUGUAUGUUUACGUCCGGUGUAUACAGCAUAGACAUACACGUGGAUAGCUCAAAAUACAUACAGAUAACACGCCACUUGGCUUAAGAAAGUGGGCGUGUAUGUUUACGCAAAGUCAUGAUGCCAUGUUGAUGUGGCAGUAAAUGUGGCACAUGGGACUGG
Long non-coding RNA from Etheostoma spectabile (orangethroat darter), 173 nucleotides. RefSeq lists it as uncharacterized. The transcript is spliced from 3 exons. NCBI's taxonomy places the organism in Eukaryota, Metazoa, Chordata, Actinopteri, Perciformes, Percidae. The record is from RefSeq and is a predicted model, not a curated record.